This 63-nucleotide transfer RNA is filed under the name Emplectonema gracile. RNAcentral's name for it is "tRNA-Thr". Lineage: Eukaryota; Metazoa; Nemertea; Enopla; Monostilifera; Emplectonematidae. The record is from RNAcentral.
GCUUAAAAGCUUUAAAGAAGCAGCGGUCUUGUAAACCGAAGAUUGGAAAAUCCCUUAAGCCUA